Molecule: ribosomal RNA, 223 nt
Filed under: uncultured bacterium
Lineage: Bacteria
Description: partial 16S ribosomal RNA
Rfam family: Bacterial small subunit ribosomal RNA
Source: RNAcentral
ACGCUCGACACCUACGGGAGGCAGCAGUAGGGAAUCUUCCACAAUGGACGCAAGUCUGAUGGAGCAACGCCGCGUGAGUGAAGAAGGUUUUCGGAUCGUAAAGCUCUGUUGUUGGUGAAGAAGGAUAGGGGUAGUAACUGGCCUUUAUUUGACGGUAAUCAACCAGAAAGUCACGGCUAACUACGUGCUAGCAGCCGCGGUAAUCUGAGCGGGCUGGCAAGGC